Rosa chinensis is the source of this 464-nucleotide long non-coding RNA. RefSeq lists it as uncharacterized. The record is from RefSeq and is a predicted model, not a curated record. The transcript has 3 exons. NCBI's taxonomy places the organism in Eukaryota, Viridiplantae, Streptophyta, Magnoliopsida, Rosales, Rosaceae.
AAUUUAAUAGCUUGGGUGAACCAGUAAGCUUGUCAUCUUUUGUGGGCCCUCUUGUACGAGAGCAUGUACCUGUAACACUUGAUGAUUGGAGGAACCUUGGUGAUGACCUUAAAGUACCAUUAUGGGAAGAAGUUCAUGCAAGAUACAUCUUGGAUGAAGAAUGGCAAAAAGAUGUCAUAUUUAAGUCGAUGGGAUGCCUUUGGAGGGCCUCAAAAUCUAGAUUAGUUCGUCAAAUACAAGCAGCAAAGAACAAACAAGAAAGACUUCGGCUCAAACCAGACAACAUACCAACUUUAGCAAUUUGGAAGAAGUUUGUCAAGACAAAAACAAGUCCAACAUUUAAGGCUAUAAGUGACAAGUACAAGGCAUUGAGGCGUAAACAAGUACCACACACAUGCAGUCGCAAGGGAAUGGUUCGAUUAGCAGCUGAUAUGGUAAUACAUAUCAUAUAUUAAUGCUUUUUA